AUCUAAGUACCCCGAGGAAAAGAAAUCAACCGAGAUUCCCCCAGUAGCGGCGAGCGAACGGGGAGGAGCCCAGAGCCUGAAUCAGCAUGUGUGUUAGUGGAAGCGUCUGGAAAGGCGCGCGAUACAGGGUGACAGCCCCGUACACAAAAGCGCAUGUGCUGUGAGCUCGAUGAGUAGGGCGGGACACGUGGUAUCCUGUCUGAAUAUGGGGGGACCAUCCUCCAAGGCUAAAUACUCCUGACUGACCGAUAGUGAACCAGUACCGUGAGGGAAAGGCGAAAAGAACCCCGGCGAGGGGAGUGAAAAAGAACCUGAAACCGUGUACGUACAAGCAGUGGGAGCACCCUUCGGGGUGUGACUGCGUACCUUUUGUAUAAUGGGUCAGCGACUUAUAUUCUGUAGCAAGGUUAACCG
Molecule: ribosomal RNA, 414 nt
Filed under: Salmonella enterica subsp. enterica serovar Typhimurium
Lineage: Bacteria; Pseudomonadati; Pseudomonadota; Gammaproteobacteria; Enterobacterales; Enterobacteriaceae
Description: partial 23S ribosomal RNA
Rfam family: Bacterial large subunit ribosomal RNA
Source: RNAcentral